This 825-nucleotide ribosomal RNA is filed under the name Trichillum externepunctatum. RNAcentral describes it as "SSU rRNA". It matches the Rfam family "Eukaryotic small subunit ribosomal RNA", at positions 470 to 1255 of the family's 1831-position model. The record is from RNAcentral. Lineage: Eukaryota; Metazoa; Arthropoda; Insecta; Coleoptera; Scarabaeidae.
ACGAAAAAUAACGAUACGGGACUCAUCCGAGGCCCCGUAAUCGGAAUGAGUACACUUUAAAUCCUUUAACGAGGAUCAAUUGGAGGGCAAGUCUGGUGCCAGCCGCCGCGGUAAUUCCAGCUCCAAUAGCGUAUAUUAAAGUUGUUGCGGUUAAAAAGCUCGUAGUCGAAUCUGUGUCCCGCGCCGCCGGUUCAUCGCUCGCGGUGUCAACUGGCGUGUCCGCGGGACGUCCUGCCGGUGGGUUUAGCCCUUCGGGGCGGCCCAAUUUAUGUCUCGCCGCGAUGCUCUUUACUGAGUGUCGAGGUGGGCCGGCACUUUUACUUUGAACAAAUUAAAGUGCUUAAAGCAGGCUAAAACCUCGCCUGAAUACACGUGCAUGGAAUAAUGGAAUAGGACCUCGGUUCUAUUUUGUUGGUUUUCGGAACGCCGAGGUAAUGAUUAAUAGGAACGGAUGGGGGCAUUCGUAUUGCGACGUUAGAGGUGAAAUUCUUGGAUCGUCGCAAGACGGACAGAAGCGAAAGCAUUUGCCAAAAACGCUUUCAUUGAUCAAGAACGAAAGUUAGAGGUUCGAAGGCGAUCAGAUACCGCCCUAGUUCUAACCAUAAACUAUGCCAGCUAGCGAUCCGCCGACGUUCCUCCGAUGACUCGGCGGGCAGCUUCCGGGAAACCAAAGCUUUUGGGUUCCGGGGGAAGUAUGGUUGCAAAGCUGAAACUUAAAGGAAUUGACGGAAGGGCACCACCAGGAGUGGAGCCUGCGGCUUAAUUUGACUCAACACGGGAAACCUCACCAGGCCCGGACACCGGAAGGAUUGACAGAUUGAGAGC